UACGGGGGGAGCAAGCGUUGUUCGGAUUUACUGGGCGUAAAGGGCGCGUAGGCGGUCAGCACAAGUCAGUUGUGAAAUCUCCGGGCUUAACUCGGAAAGGUCAACUGAUACUGUGCGACUAGAGUGCAGAAGGGGCAACUGGAAUUCUCGGUGUAGCGGUGAAAUGCGUAGAUAUCGAGAGGAACACCUGCGGCGAAGGCAGGUCUCUGGGCCACUACUGACGCUGAGAAGCGAAAGCGUGGGGAGCGAACAGG
RNAcentral lists this ribosomal RNA (254 nucleotides) under uncultured bacterium. RNAcentral's name for it is "partial 16S ribosomal RNA". It matches the Rfam family "Bacterial small subunit ribosomal RNA", at positions 524 to 776 of the family's 1533-position model. The record is from RNAcentral.